This 427-nucleotide ribosomal RNA is filed under the name uncultured bacterium. RNAcentral's name for it is "bacterial SSU rRNA". It matches the Rfam family "Bacterial small subunit ribosomal RNA", at positions 355 to 774 of the family's 1533-position model. The record is from RNAcentral.
UGGGGAAUUUUGGACAAUGGGCGAAAGCCUGAUCCAGCCAUGCCGCGUGAGUGAAGAAGGCCUUCGGGUUGUAAAGCUCUUUUAGUCGGAAAGAAAGAGUUGCAAUGAAUAAUUGUGAUUUAUGACGGUACCGACAGAAAAAGCACCGGCUAACUACGUGCCAGCAGCCGCGGUAAUACGUAGGGUGCGAGCGUUAAUCGGAAUUACUGGGCGUAAAGGGUGCGCAGGCGGUCUUGCAAGUCAGAUGUGAAAGCCCCGGGCUUAACCUGUGAAGUGCGUUUGAAACUACAAGACUAGAGUGCAGCAGAGGGGAGUGGAAGUCCAUGUGGAUCAGUGAAAUGCGUAGAGAUGUGGAAGAACACCGAUGGCGAAGGCAGCUCCCUGGGUUGACACUGACGCUCAUGCACGAAAGCGUGGGGAGCAAACA